AGAGUAUGCCAGAUCCGCGACAAAUACAUGGAAUCCACUGUUCACACGGACAGAGUCUCCUCUGUAUUUGCACGGCGUCGCACAAGUACAAAAGUACAAACAAUAUACAACUACAACUAAGUGAAUAUACAGAUAGCUAUACAUUCAUACAUUCACCAUUCACACCGUAGUUUUACAUUCGAUGUUUAAACAAAAGUCCACGAAAAACCUUUUGAAAACUGUUCCAUACGCGAAAACUUUUAUCUUUUAUAAAAGCUACCACGAGGGGUAGAAAACCUUUUAUUUUACCAAAUCCAGAGAUCCUUUUAUUACAUUUAUGAAAGUCCACAUAUUCCAAUGUAAUAA
This 345-nucleotide long non-coding RNA is filed under the name Ananas comosus (pineapple). Its description in RNAcentral is "long non-coding RNA (ACOM_LNC044628)". Lineage: Eukaryota; Viridiplantae; Streptophyta; Magnoliopsida; Poales; Bromeliaceae. The record is from RNAcentral.